GAGCUUACACACUGGUAGAGCAUCGGACACUCAUCCGACGGUCGCAGGUUCGACUCCUGCUAAGCCCACCU
RNAcentral lists this transfer RNA (71 nucleotides) under Thermosporothrix hazakensis. RNAcentral's name for it is "tRNA-OTHER". Lineage: Bacteria; Bacillati; Chloroflexota; Ktedonobacteria; Ktedonobacterales; Thermosporotrichaceae. The record is from RNAcentral.